UAGGAGGGCCUGGUGAGCUGGUGGGCAGCACGGCUGAACUGUCCCUAAGGGAUGGGCUCCUGCAGAGGCCUCACUGCCUCUGGUAUGGUCGUACCAGUGUCAUUACACUGUCUUCUAAAAUGAGCACAGGUUAUGAACAGGAAAUUCACUCAAGACAAGUAUAAAGGCUGACAGUGCGGAUGAUGUGUGAGACCUGUUCCUAGUGCUCUCAGGAAGGACUUUGUCGUUUGGGACCCGAACCAUGAACCUUCCGAACUGGAGAGUGAGAAACGGUCAGAGAGGAUAAAACCCUGAACUUCUGCACGAGUGCCAUAUCACCCCAGCCUUGGUGGUCAUCAUUACCCACUGCAGGGUCAGGUCCAUCCAACUGCUGGUGGGGAAUUGGGCAAUGACCAAUCUGCAUCUUCAUGCUGAAUGAGGUCAUUAUUAGGGAGCAUUGGAU
Long non-coding RNA from Heterocephalus glaber (naked mole-rat), 442 nucleotides. RefSeq lists it as uncharacterized. The record is from RefSeq and is a predicted model, not a curated record. Lineage: Eukaryota; Metazoa; Chordata; Mammalia; Rodentia; Bathyergidae.